This 497-nucleotide ribosomal RNA is filed under the name uncultured bacterium. RNAcentral describes it as "partial 16S ribosomal RNA". It matches the Rfam family "Bacterial small subunit ribosomal RNA", at positions 28 to 507 of the family's 1533-position model. The record is from RNAcentral.
GAUGAACGCUGGCGGCGUGCCUAAUACAUGCAAGUCGAGCGAACAGACGAGGAGCUUGCUCCUCUGACGUUAGCGGCGGACGGGUGAGUAACACGUGGAUAACCUACCUAUAAGACUGGGAUAACUUCGGGAAACCGGAGCUAAUACCGGAUAAUAUAUUGAACCGCAUGGUUCAAUAGUGAAAGACGGUUUUGCUGUCACUUAUAGAUGGAUCCGCGCCGCAUUAGCUAGUUGGUAAGGUAACGGCUUACCAAGGCAACGAUGCGUAGCCGACCUGAGAGGGUGAUCGGCCACACUGGAACUGAGACACGGUCCAGACUCCUACGGGAGGAAGCAGUAGGGAAUCUUCGGCAAUGGGCGAAAGCCUGACGGAGCAACGCCGCGUGAGUGAUGAAGGUCUUCGGAUCGUAAAACUCUGUUAUUAGGGAAGAACAAAUGUGUAAGUAACUAUGCACGUCUUGACGGUACCUAAUCAGAAAGCCACGGCUAACUACGUG